This 22-nucleotide microRNA is filed under the name Strongyloides ratti. RNAcentral's name for it is "str-miR-184-3p". Its record names the gene str-miR-184-3p. Lineage: Eukaryota; Metazoa; Nematoda; Chromadorea; Rhabditida; Strongyloididae. The record is from miRBase by way of RNAcentral.
UGGACGGAAGUUUGAUAAGAGA